Molecule: ribosomal RNA, 444 nt
Filed under: uncultured bacterium
Lineage: Bacteria
Description: bacterial SSU rRNA
Rfam family: Bacterial small subunit ribosomal RNA
Source: RNAcentral
CCAGACUCCUACGGGAGGCAGCAGUGGGGAAUAUUGCACAAUGGGGGAAGCCCUGAUGCAGCGACGCCGCGUGAGUGAAGAAGUAUUUCGGUAUGUAAAGCUCUAUCAGCAGGGAAGAAAAUGACGGUACCUGACCAAGAAGCCCCGGCUAACUACGUGCCAGCAGCCGCGGUAAUACGUAGGGGGCAAGCGUUAUCCGGAUUUACUGGGUGUAAAGGGAGCGUAGACGGUGAUGCAAGUCAGAAGUGAAAGCCCGGGGCUCAACUCCGGGACUGCUUUUGAAACUGUGUAACUGGAGUGCAGGAGAGGUAAGCGGAAUUCCUAGUGUAGCGGUGAAAUGCGUAGAUAUUAGGAGGAACACCAGUGGCGAAGGCGGCUUACUGGACUGUAACUGACGUUGAGGCUCGAAAGCGUGGGGAGCAAACAGGAUUAGAUACCCCAGUA